RNAcentral lists this long non-coding RNA (221 nucleotides) under Lathyrus oleraceus (garden pea). RNAcentral's name for it is "Pisum sativum (pea) long non-coding RNA (PSAT_LNC039610)". The record is from RNAcentral. Lineage: Eukaryota; Viridiplantae; Streptophyta; Magnoliopsida; Fabales; Fabaceae.
AAAAAUGUACAAAAAUUUUCCAUACUGGGAAUGAAUGAAUAUGACGCAAAGUGAUGGGUAUUUGUGAAUGGUUAUUUAUUGGAUGGAAAAUGGGCUAUGAUAUGAAGUCAUCUGAUGGGGAUUGAAUAUGGUAUUCUAUGGGAAAUAUGGAUCAGCUGCACAUAGAGAUGUAUAUGUAAGAACAAAAAUUAUUCUACAACAGAUUCCAUGAUUUUGAUGAU